RNAcentral lists this ribosomal RNA (93 nucleotides) under Staphylococcus aureus subsp. aureus CIG1233. The record is from RNAcentral. Lineage: Bacteria; Bacillati; Bacillota; Bacilli; Caryophanales; Staphylococcaceae.
UGGUGACUAUAGCAAGGAGGUCACACCUGUUCCCAUGCCGAACACAGAAGUUAAGCUCCUUAGCGUCGAUGGUAGUCGAACUUACGUUCCGCU